Non-coding RNA from Triticum urartu, 731 nucleotides. The record is from RefSeq and is a predicted model, not a curated record. NCBI's taxonomy places the organism in Eukaryota, Viridiplantae, Streptophyta, Magnoliopsida, Poales, Poaceae.
UGGAAUAUCAAUAAUAAGCACACAUGAACUCGAGCAUGGUGAAAAGAAGUAGUUUAUAGAAUACACUGAUCUCAGUGAACCAGUGCCACACAACAGGGCAUACUCUCAGCAGGGACAUUGGGAAUUUGGAAUGAAUAUCUCAUCCUUCAGUAGAGGCUGUAGAGAAUAUAUAGUAGCGAACAAAUAGGUGCAUUUGUACAAUCCGAUAUAUCAAGUUUUCUAGUGUGCCGAGACUUUAUUUUUGUGUAUGCCCUUCCAUUAGCGCUUGGCUGAUAUGCUUUCUUGAUGUACGGACUUUGAUCACCUGUUGUCCAAUCCACUGUUUAACCAGAUUAAUGCUGCAAAACCAAUCCUUGAGGUGUUUGAAGAUGUGAAAACCAUUUUUCAGUCCUAUGGCCCAAAGGCCGCAUAGAUGCGCUCAUGCAAAAAUAUGUGAUUCAUUAAAACGGUGACCCCAGAAGUACCGAAGGAAAAGGCUGGAGCUCACGGCGCGCUACCCUGCCAGCAUGCCACUAGAUAGUCGUUCAUCAUCUGAUUUAUAAGUAUUUCUGAUCUUUAUUAGUGAGUAGAGGGGAACUGGAGCACAUAUCAGUUCACCUGUGUGCCCACCUCGCUGCCGCAACGAACCAUCCCAUUCGUUACUAUCGUCAAGUUAUGUAGUCUUUGUUAUGGACAUGGUUAAUGAUAUCUUGUCAGGAAAAAAGAUUGCAAUUAAUCAUUCGGCCACAUCA